This 291-nucleotide unclassified non-coding RNA is filed under the name Boletus sp. Its description in RNAcentral is "partial internal transcribed spacer region". The stretch from base 1 to 46 matches the Rfam family "Eukaryotic small subunit ribosomal RNA", at positions 1786 to 1831 of the family's 1831-position model. Lineage: Eukaryota; Fungi; Basidiomycota; Agaricomycetes; Boletales; Boletaceae. The record is from RNAcentral.
AAGUCGUAACAAGGUUUCCGUAGGUGAACCUGCGGAAGGAUCAUUAUCGAACUUUGAGAAGGCAGGAAAGGCGGGGGAAGAGUAGACUGUCGCUGGCCCUUGCUUUGGCAUGGGCAUGUGCACGUCUUGCUACUUCGUCGACCUGUCUCUCAUCAUAACACACACCUGUGCACCAUUUUGUAGAUCCUCGAAAGAGGAUCUAUGUUUCUUUUCACAUCACACCCCUAUCGUAUGUCUACAGAAUGUCUACAAAUCAUAACACAACUUUCAGCAACGGAUCUCUUGGCUCUC